GCUNGNGUUUUUCAGCAAGANCGUGCCAGCAGCCGCGGUAAUACGGAGGGNUGCAAGCGUUAAUCGGAAUUACUGGGCGUAAAGCGCAUGCAGGCGGUCUGUUAAGUCNGAUGUGAAAGCCCCGGGCUUAACCUGGGAGUGGCAUUUGAGACUGGCAGGCUAGAGUCUUGUAGAGGGGGGUAGAAUUCCAGGUGUAGCGGUGAAAUGCGUANAGAUCUGGAGGAAUAUCGGUGGNGAAGGCGGCCCCCUGGACAAAGACUGACGCUCANAUGCGAAAGCGUGGGUAGCAAACAGGAUUAGAUACCCUGGUAGUCCACGCCGUANACGAUGUCUACUUGAAGGUUGGGAUCUUGAAUUCUGGCCUUCGGAGCUAACGCGUUAAGUAGACCGCCNGGGGAGUACGGUCGCAAGAUUAAAACUCA
Molecule: ribosomal RNA, 422 nt
Filed under: uncultured Vibrio sp.
Lineage: Bacteria; Pseudomonadati; Pseudomonadota; Gammaproteobacteria; Vibrionales; Vibrionaceae
Description: partial 16S ribosomal RNA
Rfam family: Bacterial small subunit ribosomal RNA
Source: RNAcentral